This 483-nucleotide ribosomal RNA is filed under the name Streptococcus sp. oral taxon 431. Its description in RNAcentral is "bacterial SSU rRNA". It matches the Rfam family "Bacterial small subunit ribosomal RNA", at positions 28 to 495 of the family's 1533-position model. Lineage: Bacteria; Bacillati; Bacillota; Bacilli; Lactobacillales; Streptococcaceae. The record is from RNAcentral.
GACGAACGCUGGCGGCGUGCCUAAUACAUGCAAGUAGAACGCUGAAGGAGGAGCUUGCUUCUCCGGAUGAGUUGCGAACGGGUGAGUAACGCGUAGGUAACCUGCCUGGUAGCGGGGGAUAACUAUUGGAAACGAUAGCUAAUACCGCAUAACAGUAGAUAUUGCAUGAUAUCUGCUUGAAAGGUGCAAAUGCAUCACUACCAGAUGGACCUGCGUUGUAUUAGCUAGUUGGUGGGGUAACGGCUCACCAAGGCGACGAUACAUAGCCGACCUGAGAGGGUGAUCGGCCACACUGGGACUGAGACACGGCCCAGACUCCUACGGGAGGCAGCAGUAGGGAAUCUUCGGCAAUGGACGGAAGUCUGACCGAGCAACGCCGCGUGAGUGAAGAAGGUUUUCGGAUCGUAAAGCUCUGUUGUAAGAGAAGAACGAGUGUGAGAGUGGAAAGUUCACACUGUGACGGUAUCUUACCAGAAAGGGCGG